GACGAACGCUAGCGGCGUGUCUGAAACAUGCAAGUCGAGCGGGCAUCAGCAAUGGUGUCAGCGGCGAACGGGUGCGUAACACGUAAAGAACCUGCCCUUUAGCGGGGGAUAGCCCUGGGAAACCGGGGGUAAUACCGCAUACGGUCAUUUUAUCGCAUGAUGAGAUGAGGAAAGGCUGUUGCUGUAAGGUAAUAGUCACUGAAGGAGGGCUUUGCGGCCUAUCAGGUAGUUGGUGAGGUAACGGCUCACCAAGCCAUAGACGGGUAGCUGGUCUGAG
Molecule: ribosomal RNA, 277 nt
Filed under: uncultured bacterium
Lineage: Bacteria
Description: partial 16S ribosomal RNA
Rfam family: Bacterial small subunit ribosomal RNA
Source: RNAcentral